This 436-nucleotide ribosomal RNA is filed under the name uncultured bacterium. Its description in RNAcentral is "bacterial SSU rRNA". It matches the Rfam family "Bacterial small subunit ribosomal RNA", at positions 469 to 907 of the family's 1533-position model. The record is from RNAcentral.
UUGACGGUACCAGAGGAAUAAGCACCGGCUAACUCCGUGCCAGCAGCCGCGGUAAUACGGAGGGUGCAAGCGUUAUCCGGAUUCACUGGGUUUAAAGGGUGCGUAGGCGGGUAAGUAAGUCCGUGGUGAAAUCUCUGAGCUUAACUCAGAAACUGCCGUGGAUACUAUUUGNCUUGAAUAUUGUGGAGGUGAGCGGAAUAUGUCAUGUAGCGGUGAAAUGCUUAGAUAUGACAUAGAACACCAAUUGCGAAGGCAGCUCACUACACAAUUAUUGACGCUGAGGCACGAAAGCGUGGGGAUCAAACAGGAUUAGAUACCCUGGUAGUCCACGCCCUAAACGAUGAUUACUCGACAUCAGCGAUACACUGUUGGUGUCUGAGCGAAAGCAUUAAGUAAUCCACCUGGGAAGUACGAUCGCAAGAUUGAAACUCAAAGG